RNAcentral lists this ribosomal RNA (505 nucleotides) under uncultured bacterium. RNAcentral's name for it is "partial 16S ribosomal RNA". It matches the Rfam family "Bacterial small subunit ribosomal RNA", at positions 28 to 507 of the family's 1533-position model. The record is from RNAcentral.
GACGAACGCUGGCGGCGUGCCUAAUACAUGCAAGUAGAACGCACAGUUUAUACCGUAGCUUGCUACACCAUAGACUGUGAGUUGCGAACGGGUGAGUAACGCGUAGGUAACCUGCCUGGUAGCGGGGGAUAACUAUUGGAAACGAUAGCUAAUACCGCAUAAUAUUAAUUAUUGCAUGAUAAUUAAUUGAAAGGUGCAAUUGCACCACUACCAGAUGGACCUGCGUUGUAUUAGCUAGUAGGUGAGGUAACGGCUCACCUAGGCGACGAUACAUAGCCGACCUGGAGGGGUGAUCGGCCACACUGGGACUGAGACACGGCCCAGACUCCUACGGGAGGCAGCAGUAGGGAAUCUUCGGCAAUGGACGAAAGUCUGACCGAGCAACGCCGCGUGAGUGAAGAAGGUUUUCGGAUCGUAAAGCUCUGUUGUAAGAGAAGAACGGGUGUGAGAGUGGAAAGUUCACACUGUGACGGUAGCUUACCAGAAAGGGACGGCUAACUACGUG